GAUGAGCGCUGGCGGCGUGCCUAAUACAUGCAAGUCGAGCGAACAGACGAGGAGCUUGCUCCUCUGACGUUAGCAGCGGACGGGUGAGUAACACGUGGAUAACCUACCUAUAAGACUGGGAUAACUUCGGGAAACCGGAGCUAAUACCGGAUAAUAUAUUGAACCGCAUGGUUCAAUAGUGAAAGACGGUUUUGCUGUCACUUAUAGAUGGAUCCGCGCCGCAUUAGCUAGUUGGUAAGGUAACGGCUUACCAAGGCAACGAUGCGUAGCCGACCUGAGAGGGUGAUCGGCCACACUGGAACUGAGACACGGUCCAGACUCCUACGGGAGGCAGCAGUAGGGAAUCUUCCGCAAUGGGCGAAAGCCUGACGGAGCAACGCCGCGUGAGUGAUGAAGGUCUUCGGAUCGUAAAACUCUGUUAUUAGGGAAGAACAAAUGUGUAAGUAACUAUGCACGUCUUGACGGUACCUAAUCAGAAAGCCACGGCUAACUACGUG
This 497-nucleotide ribosomal RNA is filed under the name uncultured bacterium. RNAcentral describes it as "partial 16S ribosomal RNA". It matches the Rfam family "Bacterial small subunit ribosomal RNA", at positions 28 to 507 of the family's 1533-position model. The record is from RNAcentral.